UAUUUAUAUAUUUUUGUAUAUAUAUUUGUGUAUAUAUAUAUAUGUAUAUAUUUGUAUAUAGUGCUGAGGAUCGAACCCAGUGCCUUACACGUGCUGGGCAAGCGCUACAACUCUACCCGCUCCGUAUCACUUUUAACUUUUUGUUCGUUUAUUUUUGGUGUCAUGGAUUUUUAAAAAUCAACUUCAUUAAGGUAUAAUUAACAUAACACUAAGCUGCACAUAUUUAAGCUUAAAAUUUGUAAAUUUGGACUUAUGAAUAUACCCAUAAAAAUGUCAUCACAAUUUAGACAGAGAACACAUCCACCAACCCCUGAUAUAUAUAUAUAUAUUUUUUUUUACUCCCCUUGCCCUUUUUCUUGGUGUCUUUUUUAUCCUCCCCUUCCACCCUUCUCAGUCCUCACCUCUCACUCCCACUCCUGGUUAAGACCACCACUGAUCUGCUUUGCCACCACACAUCUGUUUGCAUUUUCUGGAGUUCCAUAAGGACUCCGGUUCUAACAUGUCUGUACUCGUCUGUGUGUUACUGGGGAUCGAGUCCAGUGGCUCCACCACUAGAUUCCAUGCCCAGCUCUGUUUAUUCUUUGUCUCACUAAGUUGCCCAUGCUAGUUUCAAACUUGUGAUGCUCUUGCUCCAGCCUCCUGACUAGCUGGGAUUACAGGUGUGUGCCACUGUGCCCAGCUUUGUCUGGCUGCUGUUAUUCAGCAUAAUGAUUUGAUACCUAACCAUAUUUGUUCAUCUAUGAAUGAUUCAUUUCUUUUUUACUGCUUAGUAUUCUGCUGCAUAGAUUGAUCAUCAUUUGUUCAUCUAUUUAUCUGCUGAUGGACAUCUGAAUUGUUUCCAGAUUUUGGCUAUUAUGAACACUGCUAUAUAAGUGUAUAUAUAUUUGUGUGGACAUGUUUUCAUUUCUCUUGAGUAAAUAAAUGCCUAGGAGUGGAAUGGCUGAAUCCAUGAUAUGCAUUCACUUUAACUUUUAAAGAAAUUUCCAAACUGAUUUCCACGGUGGCUGUACCAUUUGUACUCCCACCAGCAGUGUGACAGUUCUAGUUCCUCCACAAAUCAGCUACCAAUAGAAGUAUGAUCAACCUUAAACUCUAGCAAUUCCAAUAUGUUGGGAUAUUUUAGGGUUUUAAAUUUCAUUUUUCUAAAGAUUAAUGACUUUGCACAUCUUUUCAUAUGCUCAUUUGCCAUCCAUGAGUCUUCAUGGGACAGUAUGUGUUGAAUUAAAUCUUUUGUCCAUUUAAAAAAUUGGGUCAUUUUCUUAUUAUGGAGUCCUGAGAAAUUUUUUAUUCCUGCAGUGCUGGGGACUAAACCUAGGGCCUCAUGGAUGCGAGGAGAAGUACUCUAACACUGAGCUACACACCCAGCUGGAGUUUUUAGAAUUUAUUUAUAUGCUGUAGAUACAGACUUUUAUCAGAUGAUUUCAAAAAUAGUUUCCACCAGUCUGUGGGCUUAUCUUUAGUUCUUUUAACAAUACUAUUCAAAGAAAAAGUUAUUAAUUUGGGGAACAUGUAGUCUGACAACUUUUUUUCUUUUUGAAUUGUUUCUGCAUUGUACCUAAGAAAUCUUUGACUAGUCUAAUGACACAAAGAUUUUUCUCCUGUUUUCUACUACAUGUUUUAAGAUUUUUAGGUAUUACGUUCAGGUUUUAGAUCCAUUUCGAAGUGUAUAUAUAUAUUUAUAUACAAAAAUAUAUAUAUAAAGAACUUCACUCCUUUUUCUUUUAAAUAUAUGAAUAUCCAACUACUGCAGCACCAUUUAUUGAAAAGAUUAUCCCUUCCUCACAGAAUUACUCUUUUUAAACUGAUCAAUAGUACUUUAAUUAAAAGUUCUUGGCAAUGUUUUAGUCUAAAUUUUUCAUAAACAUAACUAGUAAAAGACAUAAGUUAAACAACACCACUUUAGAAAAAAUUUGCAAAUUGUUAGACCAAGAAUUAAUUUGUUUUUAUUCAGUUAGUAGGUCAUAUUACUAGAUCCCGGUCUUUUUUUGUUGGGGGGGGGGGUUUGGAGAAUCUUUUCAAUGAAGUAAUUGAGUCAUGACACCACAAUGAAUGUAUAUAUAGAAUUGAGAGAGAUUUAAAAUACCAUAUAAUUAUUUCAGCUUUUAGAUCACUAAAGUCAAGCUUUGCCUGCUGGUUAUUAACCCUCAUCCCAAAUAAUCAUUUAAUAUAUACUGUGCUUCAUUGUACUGAUGCUAUUCAAGGCAUAGAUGUAAGAUCUGUCCUUCGGAUAGAAUUACUCUUUGAAUCUUUAUAAAGAAUCAGUUAACAACAACAACAAAAACAAGAUGACCUAAGAGUAGAAGAGCAUGGCUCAGGGACUGGGAAAAGGGGCUGGAGGUAGAGAGGGGAGAAUGGGAGAGGGUAGAGGGAAGCAUGGACAGGAUAAAAAAUGUGUGGACUUAAAGUCUGUCAGUCAUCUUGAAUUUGGGUAGUCUUAGCUCUCCAACUUUUAUCUUUUUCUAUUUUAGCUAUGCUGGGUCUUUGGCUUUUACAUACAGAUUUCAGAAUCAGCUUGACAAUUUCUAUAAAAAUGCCUGCAUAAUUUUUUAAAAACAUUUAUUUUUUAGGUGUAGAUGAACAUAACACAAUGCCUUUAUUUUUUUAAUAAGGUGCUGAGGAUCGAACCCAGGUCCCGCCCAUGCUAGGUCAGCCAAGUGCUAUACGGUUAAGCUGCAGCUCCUGCCCUGAGUCUGAUUUUUAAACACUGUUACCUCACACAGCCCAACCAAGUCCUGAACCAGACAUUCCUUUCUCUGCCGGAAGUUUAUGGUCUGAAGUUGGUUUUCAGAUAAAAAAUCCCAGGCUUUUAAGAUUGUCAUCAUUUCAUUCAUGGGGAUUUUCAAGAUGGUCCUCCUGAUAAAUUCAGCAACAGUCUCAUCCAUCUCUUUGGCACUUCAACAAAACAGAAACAGAAAGAGCACAACAAAGUACCAAUCAAAUAUUGAAGUUUAACUAAACCCUUUCUGAGUUCCAGCUACACUGGCCUCUUGAUUCCUACAAGACAGAAUGACCCCUCUGGUGAUGUGCCAUUGUACCUGCAAUUAUCCCUGCCCAGAAGAUUCUUUUUGUAUUCACUCAUAUUCAUGGGAUUUCCUGUUGUAAAUCAGGUAUGUUAGCUUCCUUCUGCUGUAACAAAUACCUGAAAUAAACAACUUAUAAAAAGCAAAGAUUCAU
Non-coding RNA from Ictidomys tridecemlineatus (thirteen-lined ground squirrel), 3174 nucleotides. The record is from RefSeq and is a predicted model, not a curated record. Lineage: Eukaryota; Metazoa; Chordata; Mammalia; Rodentia; Sciuridae.